UUUUUAUAAGCAAGAGCUGAAAAAUAGAUGCCGAAGGAAAAAGGUAGGUAUUUCAAGAAUAUUGCAUUGUACAGUACUGUAUAAAGCAUGACAUCAACGAUGGACAACAGAGACCUAUUUUUUCUUUUUGAAACAGGAUAUUCCCAGUAUCCACUACGAAGUACUUUGGCCUUGAUGUUACGAAAUUACAGAGAAACAAACGGAGAGACUAUUGGUAAGGGCCUCUAAAACGAAAUUGAUUUUCAUAAAGAGGUCAUAAUUAUAUUAUGCCCAACAUUUCUACCAUCCACGUGAACUAAAAGACUGAAUAACAGGUCCCAAUGUCUUGUCCACUGCUUUGUUCCAUAUGCGAGCAAGCUCUUGACGAGACCUUCUUCCAAAGAUAGGCUCGUGUGGCUGUGAUUGAGUCCGAAAAAUGGAUUCAUAAAUGCUCUUCCGUUGCUCAAAAAUCACAACUCCCGUUAAUAUGCUCCCAGCGCCGCGCCCAGCAGACGCUCCUGAGCUAGAACGCUGAUCAUGGCGGAUUGAAUCGAAUUUUCUAUCAGGGAACAAAUUUCGUGAUG
This 563-nucleotide long non-coding RNA is filed under the name Olea europaea (common olive). RNAcentral's name for it is "long non-coding RNA (OEUR_LNC004921)". The record is from RNAcentral. Lineage: Eukaryota; Viridiplantae; Streptophyta; Magnoliopsida; Lamiales; Oleaceae.